Molecule: ribosomal RNA, 468 nt
Filed under: uncultured bacterium
Lineage: Bacteria
Description: partial 16S ribosomal RNA
Rfam family: Bacterial small subunit ribosomal RNA
Source: RNAcentral
GACGAACGCUGGCGGCGUGCUUAACACAUGCCAGUCGAACGGAAAGGCCCUGCUCUUGUGGGGUUCUCGAGUGGCGAACGGGUGAGUAACACGUGUGUAACCUGCCCUUGACUUUGGGAUAACUCCAGGAAACUGGGGCUAAUACCGGAUAUGAGCUCCUGCUGCAUGGUGGGGGUUGGAAAGUUUCGGCGGUUGGGGAUGGACUCGCGGGUUAUCAGCUUGUUGGUGUGGUAGUGGCUUACCAAGGCUUUGACGGGUAGCCGGCCUGAGAGGGUGACCGGCCACAUGGGGACUGAGGGACGGCCCAGAAUCCUACGGGAGGCAGUAGUGGGGAAUAUUGCACAAUGGGCGGAAGCCUGAUGCAGCAACGCCGCGUGCGGGAUGACGGCCUUCGGGUUGUAAACCGCUUUCGCAUGUGACGAAGCGUGAGUGACGGUAAUGGGUAAAGAAGCACCGGCUAACUACGUG